This is a non-coding RNA of Meleagris gallopavo (turkey), 208 nucleotides long. Lineage: Eukaryota; Metazoa; Chordata; Aves; Galliformes; Phasianidae. The record is from RefSeq and is a predicted model, not a curated record.
UGGACUGUUAAAUUGGAAUGGGGAGGGAAGGGAAGCAGUGGAAUAUUUAUCUAUUCCUGUGAGGAUGAGCAGGUAGAUUUAGGAAAUGUUUUUUUUUUCAUCUUGAAACUGACAGGAAGAGGUGCAAAGUAAGAAUCGAAAUCUGAUGAAGCCUGUUAGAUUGAGAGCGGGGCUGAAAGGGACUGUGAAAGGACACGAAGGAGAGAGG